Molecule: ribosomal RNA, 404 nt
Filed under: uncultured bacterium
Lineage: Bacteria
Description: bacterial SSU rRNA
Rfam family: Bacterial small subunit ribosomal RNA
Source: RNAcentral
UAGGGAAUUUUCCGCAAUGGGCGAAAGCCUGACGGAGCAACGCCGCGUGAGUGAAGACGGUUUUCGGAUUGUAAAGCUCUGUUCUGUGGGAAGAAGACAGUGACGGUACCAUAGGAGAAAGCCCCGGCUAACUACGUGCCAGCAGCCGCGGUAAUACGUAGGGGGCAAGCGUUGUCCGGAAUUAUUUGGCGUAAAGCGCGCGCAGGCGGUUAAUUAAGUCAGAUGUGAAAGGCUACGGCUCAACCGUAGAGUUGCAUUUGAAACUGGUUAACUUGAGUGCAGGAGAGGUGAGUGGAAUUCCCGGUGUUGCGGUUGAAUGCGUAGAGAUCGGGAGGAACACCAGUGGCGAAGGCGGCUCACUGGCCGGCAACUGACGCUGAGGCGCGAAAGCGUGGGGAGCGAAC